Molecule: ribosomal RNA, 450 nt
Filed under: Glomeromycotina sp.
Lineage: Eukaryota; Fungi; Glomeromycota
Description: eukaryotic LSU rRNA
Rfam family: Eukaryotic large subunit ribosomal RNA
Source: RNAcentral
GGGAUGUUAUUUAAUACGUUUCUAAGAGUCGAGUUGUUUGGGAAUGCAGCUCUAAAUGGGUGGUAAAUUUCACCUAAUGCUAAAUAUAAGCGAGAGACCGAUAGCGAACAAGUACAGUGAUGGAAAGAUGAAAAGAACUUUGAAAAGAGAGUUAAAUAGUAUGUGAAAUUGUUGAAAGGGAAACGAUUGAAGUCAGUCAUGCCRGUGGGAAUCAACUUWGAGGAAACUCUGAGUGCACUUCUUCGCUUGGCAGGUCAACGUCGAUUUUGGAUGUCAUAAAAUGAUUGGGGGAAGGUAGCUCCUUCGGGAGUGUUAUAGCCCUUGGUAGAUGUGAUGUCUGGGAUCGAGGAUUGCAAUGGAUACCCUUUGGGGCUAGCCGCCUGAUCUCUAAUYGGUAUUGGGUUACGGAUAGCAUGCUGACCGUGAUCUAAUUAUUGGUUAAAAGGUUAG